CUGUCAGGGGAAUGAUGUACUAUUAUCGAGCUCUAAAGCUUCUAGCUUUUCUAGAUUUUUCAUCAAAAACAGAUACUAACG
Molecule: small nucleolar RNA, 81 nt
Organism: Hibiscus syriacus
Lineage: Eukaryota; Viridiplantae; Streptophyta; Magnoliopsida; Malvales; Malvaceae
Product: small nucleolar RNA J33
Exons: 1
Source: RefSeq, a predicted model, not a curated record